Molecule: long non-coding RNA, 779 nt
Organism: Oncorhynchus tshawytscha (Chinook salmon)
Lineage: Eukaryota; Metazoa; Chordata; Actinopteri; Salmoniformes; Salmonidae
Source: Ensembl
GGCAGGGCAGGAUGGAUAUAGGUCUGUAACAGUUUGGGUCUAGAGGCAGGGCAGGAUGGAUAUAGGUCUGUAACAGUUUGGGUCUAGAGGCAGGGCAGGGCAGGAUGGAUAUAGGUCUGUAACAGUUUGGGUCUAGAGGCAGGGCAGGGCAGGAUGGAUAUAGGUCUGUAACAGUUUGGGUCUAGAGGCAGGGCAGGGCAGGGCAGGAUGGAUAUAGGUCUGUAACAGUUUGGGUCUAGAGACAGGGCAGGAUGGAUGUAGGUCUGUAACAGUUUGGGUCUAGAGGCAGGGCAGGAUGGAUAUAGGUCUGUAACAGUUUGGGUCUAGAGGCAGGGCAGGAUCGAUAUAGGUCUAACAGUUUGGGUCUAGAGGCAGGGCAGGGCAGGGCAGGAUGGAUAUAGGUCUGUAACAGUUUGGGUCUAGAGGCAGGGCAGGAUGGAUAUAGGUCUGUAACAGUUUGGGUCUAGAGGCAGGGCAGGAUGGAUAUAGGUCUGUAACAGUUUGGGUCUAGAGGCAGGGCAGGAUGGAAAUAGGUCUGUAACAGUUUAGGUCUAGAGGCAGGGCAGGAUGGAUAUAGGUCUGUAACAGUUUGGGUCUAGAGGCAGGGCAGGAUGGAUAUAGGUCUGUAACAGUUUGGGUCUAGAGGCAGGGCAGGAUGGAUAUAUACGUCUGUAACAGUUUGGGUCUAGAGGCAGGGCAGGAUGGAUAUAGGUCUGUAGCAGUUUGGGUCUAGAGGCAGGGCAGGAUGGAUAUAAGCCUGUAACAGUUUGGGUCUAGAG